RNAcentral lists this long non-coding RNA (201 nucleotides) under Homo sapiens (human). RNAcentral's name for it is "non-protein coding lnc-PARP8-5:1". Lineage: Eukaryota; Metazoa; Chordata; Mammalia; Primates; Hominidae. The record is from RNAcentral.
UUUGCAGAAUUGGAGGGUGGGAGUGGGGUUAGUUGAGGUUUCUGGGAAGCAAAGAAUCUUAAUGAGAUCCUGGCCAUCUCAAGAUUAACAGUUACGACAGUGUGCUUGGUUAGCCAGGGUGGCCCUAGCUAAGGUCUGUUGGCAGGAAGGAGCACCAAGAAUUUCAAGGUGUCCUCCACAAGAAAGCCGAUGACUCAAGUU